AUACGGAGGGGGCUAGCGUUGUUCGGAAUUACUGGGCGUAAAGGGCGCGUAGGCGGACCAUCAAGUCAGGGGUGAAAGGCCUGGGCUCAACCCGGGAACUGCCCUUGAAACUAAAGGUCUAGAGGCCGAGAGAGGUUAGCGGAAUUCCCAGUGUAGAGGUGAAAUUCGUAGAUAUUGGGAAGAACACCAGUGGCGAAGGCGGCUAUCUGGCUCGGUACUGACGCUGAGGCGCGAAAGCGUGGGGAGCAAACAGGAUUAGAUACCCCGGUAGUCC
RNAcentral lists this ribosomal RNA (274 nucleotides) under uncultured bacterium. RNAcentral describes it as "partial 16S ribosomal RNA". It matches the Rfam family "Bacterial small subunit ribosomal RNA", at positions 523 to 796 of the family's 1533-position model. The record is from RNAcentral.